Molecule: long non-coding RNA, 316 nt
Organism: Zingiber officinale
Lineage: Eukaryota; Viridiplantae; Streptophyta; Magnoliopsida; Zingiberales; Zingiberaceae
Exons: 3
Source: RefSeq, a predicted model, not a curated record
CUAGCUUCUCUUUUACCUCUUGUAUAUACUGCAUGUUCUUGAUUGCAUUUUUUGAAGCCGAGCUCUUUCAGACUCCUGUUCAGCCGCAUGUUCCAAGCUCGUGGAGCCUGCCGCAGUCCAUAGAGGGCCUUGGAUAACCUCUCUCCGUUCAGAAAUGCCGACUUCACGUCUAGAUGGUGUACCUCCCAGCCUUGAUUUGCUGCAAGUGCAAGAAUGACUCGAAUAGUAUCAAGUCUAGCGACAGCUGAAUCUUUCUUCAGUUUGAACACCCAUUUUAGGCCGAUAGGUUUGUGGCCUAAUGGGAGCUCAGUUAGGG